RNAcentral lists this unclassified non-coding RNA (203 nucleotides) under uncultured Pyronemataceae. Its description in RNAcentral is "sequence contains ITS1". Lineage: Eukaryota; Fungi; Ascomycota; Pezizomycetes; Pezizales; Pyronemataceae. The record is from RNAcentral.
AACGAUGCAUAUGGCAUUCAUUACCAAUGGAUGAACAUAUAUAGACCCACCUGCGUAUAAACUCCUGUUGCUUCCGUGGGGCGGUGACCGAUGUCGCCGCCGACGGAUGGCUCCGGCCGUCCGGAGGAGAGUCCCCACGGGAGGUAUAACAUAAACUACUUGCAUCUUCAUGCUCUUAGUCUGUACAUAAUCCACAAACGUUA